GAUGAAUCCGGGUCUAGAAGGCACCAAUGUAACCGGUGCUGUACUGCACCGCUGUAACUCUGGGUUGUAUAUGUGGUUGAUUGAGACUAUAGACGGGGACUUUGGAGAUCAGGGAGUUUUAACAAAGCAGAAUUCACUCUGCAUCCUGCAUCCAAAAGAAAAGAAAACAUUUGUAGAGCACAUAUGUUCCGCGAAUCGUCGCCUCUUAUAGGAGGGACUGGGAUCAUUCGAGGAGCUAGCCAUCAUUCACACAUUCAAUAGCCUGCCGAUACCUUAGCUAGCUAUUAACCACAUGUUGAAAUAAUCCUAAAAAGUACAAUUACAUCGUAACAAUACCAUCCACUUAUGAGUAACCUCUAAAUAGACAUUAUUCAUGAACAAAACACUGUAUGACUGUGCUUAAAAUAAUCAAACUUUUCUGAAGACAGAAAAAGCGGGCCAACCUCAAAGUGCAUGAAAAUGAUUUGAGCACGAGCAAGCAGGGCAACACGAUGAAGGAGACAGAGGUGGCAAGAAUAAGGGCUGUCCAGAGCGUCUCCUAUCCGGAGGCAUUGAGAAGAGUGGAAGAAGAAAGAAGGCCUACUUUUCAAGGCUGCAGUUUGAGGGGCCCUAACGCAACUAUCAACCCUGAGAGAACCAGUUGAUACUGCAGGUCUUCAGGAUGCUCUUCAGCCCAGAAACAUCAGUUAAGUGAUACGAGAGAACCUGACAAGCACAUCCUUGCCGCAGCGGUUGCUGAAAUCUACAAGAAACCAGCAUGAUGACUGUCUAGGUCAGGCCUGUGCAAAGACUGGGUCCGGGGGCUACUCAAAUCACAUAAAGAGUUUGUAAUAGUAAAGUUUUGAAAAACGUAUUUGUUAUUCAAAUUAAAUCCCAA
Molecule: long non-coding RNA, 877 nt
Organism: Oncorhynchus tshawytscha (Chinook salmon)
Lineage: Eukaryota; Metazoa; Chordata; Actinopteri; Salmoniformes; Salmonidae
Source: Ensembl